UGAACUCAAUGUGUGAGCCUCUGUUGUUC
This 29-nucleotide non-coding RNA is filed under the name Rattus norvegicus (Norway rat). Lineage: Eukaryota; Metazoa; Chordata; Mammalia; Rodentia; Muridae. The record is from RNAcentral.